This is a non-coding RNA of Mus spicilegus (steppe mouse), 130 nucleotides long. The record is from Ensembl. Lineage: Eukaryota; Metazoa; Chordata; Mammalia; Rodentia; Muridae.
AACAGAAGCUAUGGAGUCAAUCAUGUAUACAAAUUCAAGUAUCUUUUGUCUGUAGGAGGUGACAAUCCUACAGAAAAAUGGCGGUCUCUGAGUCAUAGCUGGCGAGUCUGAUUAUUUCCCUCCACACAAC